UACGUAGGGUGCGAGCGUUGUCCGGAAUUAUUGGGCGUAAAGGGCUCGUAGGCGGAUCCGCCAGUUUGACGUGAAAUCUCCACCGCUCACCGGGGAGGGGCCGUUGAAUACUACGGAUCUGGAGUUCGGCAGAGGACCAUGGAAUUCCUGGUGUAGCGGUGAAAUGCGCAGAUAUCAGGAAGAACACCCGUGGCGAAGGCGGCUCUCUGGGACGGUACUGACGCUGAGACGCGAAAGCGUGGGGAGCGAACAGG
RNAcentral lists this ribosomal RNA (254 nucleotides) under uncultured bacterium. RNAcentral describes it as "partial 16S ribosomal RNA". It matches the Rfam family "Bacterial small subunit ribosomal RNA", at positions 524 to 776 of the family's 1533-position model. The record is from RNAcentral.